GCACAGGGUCCCGUUCUUGAGGGCUGUCUGCAGCCCCGAGGCCCAGGCCGAGACCCCCACCGCCGCCGCCUAGGCUGCAGGGAGGAGGCCCCGGCCCGCUGCUUAGUUAGGGGUGCUGGGCUCCCCGGCCUGCGGGCUGCUUCCAGAGCGAUCUCCCAGACGGUCCCGCAGGAGUUAAAGCCCGAGGCGGACAAAAGGGAGGCCGCCGUGGCUCCCUUUCUCGGCUGUCAGCUGAAAAUAGCUCGCUGCCCUCUGGACUUAAACUCCCGACAGAAAGGGCAUUUUAUUACAGGUUAUGACAAGCUGCAGAGAGACUCGGAGAACUCCUCAGAAGGAGCGGCGCGUGGAAUAAAAAAUGCUGGAGAUGUCUGGACGACAGAGCGAAGACUGGCUUCAAAUGAGAGAAACAGCAAAUUAUGAGAGAAAAUAAAAAGUCACACAUUUCAAACUUUCGCCUACAUCCUUCCCAAAAGAAAGAGAAUAAAAAGAUUUAAGUCAAAGACACCAGAAGCUGUCAACAGCUAUGCCACUGGAAAAACAGUUGUACAAAGGAGAAAGGGCAUCUACAAGAAAGUUAAAAUAAGAGCCAUCAUCUGUAAGUGAAAUUGCUCUGGCAGAGGUAUUCUGACUUGUGGGGGAAAAUAUGAACAAAAUUGCCACUUGGAAGUGUACAGGAAAGAAGAUACUGUCAAGGAGGAAAAGGGACACAUUUGUAAGGAGGGGGAAAUGAAAGGAGAAAAAUCCCCAGGAGUGUGUUUUUGCACCCCAGUCUUUGCACCUGGGAGAUGUGCUGGAAAAUAAGGCAAGAAAGAGGAGAGGCAAGGCACCCCAAGGAAGGUGCAGGCUGCUCUAGCCCCAGUGGGAGAAGGGGGGCAAAUCUUUUUAUGAUUUUCAUUCCUUCUGAGACUUGGAAUAAUAAACUCGAGUUACCACCCGUCAGCCC
RNAcentral lists this long non-coding RNA (943 nucleotides) under Fukomys damarensis (Damara mole-rat). RNAcentral's name for it is "lncRNA (ENSFDAG00000032834.1)". The record is from RNAcentral. Lineage: Eukaryota; Metazoa; Chordata; Mammalia; Rodentia; Bathyergidae.